AUACGGAGGAUCCGAGCGUUAUCCGGAUUUAUUGGGUUUAAAGGGUGCGCAGGCGGGAGAUUAAGUCGGCGGUGAAAUUUUGCAGCUCAACUUUAAAAGUGCCUUCGCAACUGGGUUCCUUGAGUGUAGAUGAAGGAGGCGGAAUUUUUGGUGUAGCGGUGAAAUGCAUAGAUAUCACGAGGAACUCCGAUUGCGCAGGCAGCUUACUAAACUACUACUGACGCUCAGGCACGAAGGCGUGGGGAUCAAACAGGAUUAGAUACCCUGGUAGUCCACGCAGUAAACGAUGAUUACUAGCUGUUUGCGAUACAAUGUAAGCGGCUGAGCGAAAGCGUUAAGUAAUCCACCUGGGGAGUACGUUCGCAAGAAUGAAACUCAAAGGAAUUGACGGGG
This 393-nucleotide ribosomal RNA is filed under the name uncultured bacterium. RNAcentral's name for it is "partial 16S ribosomal RNA". It matches the Rfam family "Bacterial small subunit ribosomal RNA", at positions 523 to 918 of the family's 1533-position model. The record is from RNAcentral.